Molecule: ribosomal RNA, 1443 nt
Filed under: uncultured organism
Description: 16S ribosomal RNA
Rfam family: Bacterial small subunit ribosomal RNA
Source: RNAcentral
CAGGCUUAACACAUGCAAGUCGAGGGGCAGCAUGGUCUUAGCUUGCUAAGGCCGAUGGCGACCGGCGCACGGGUGAGUAACACGUAUCCAACCUGCCGUCUACUCUUGGACAGCCUUCUGAAAGGAAGAUUAAUACAAGAUGGCAUCAUGAGUCCGCAUGUUCACAUGAUUAAAGGUAUUCCGGUAGACGAUGGGGAUGCGUUCCAUUAGAUAGUAGGCGGGGUAACGGCCCACCUAGUCUUCGAUGGAUAGGGGCUCUGAGAGGAAGGUCCCCCACAUUGGAACUGAGACACGGUCCAAACUCCUACGGGAGGCAGCAGUGAGGAAUAUUGGUCAAUGGGCGAGAGCCUGAACCAGCCAAGUAGCGUGAAGGAUGACUGCCCUAUGGGUUGUAAACUUCUUUUAUAAAGGAAUAAAGUCGGGUAUGGAUACCCGUUUGCAUGUACUUUAUGAAUAAGGAUCGGCUAACUCCGUGCCAGCAGCCGCGGUAAUACGGAGGAUCCGAGCGUUAUCCGGAUUUAUUGGGUUUAAAGGGAGCGUAGAUGGAUGUUUAAGUCAGUUGUGAAAGUUUGCGGCUCAACCGUAAAAUUGCAGUUGAUACUGGAUAUCUUGAGUGCAGUUGAGGCAGGCGGAAUUCGUGGUGUAGCGGUGAAAUGCUUAGAUAUCACGAAGAACUCCGAUUGCGAAGGCAGCCUGCUAAGCUGCAACUGACAUUGAGGCUCGAAAGUGUGGGUAUCAAACAGGAUUAGAUACCCUGGUAGUCCACACGGUAAACGAUGAAUACUCGCUGUUUGCGAUAUACUGCAAGCGGCCAAGCGAAAGCGUUAAGUAUUCCACCUGGGGAGUACGCCGGCAACGGUGAAACUCAAAGGAAUUGACGGGGGCCCGCACAAGCGGAGGAACAUGUGGUUUAAUUCGAUGAUACGCGAGGAACCUUACCCGGGCUUAAAUUGCAGAUGAAUUACGGUGAAAGCCGUAAGCCGCAAGGCAUCUGUGAAGGUGCUGCAUGGUUGUCGUCAGCUCGUGCCGUGAGGUGUCGGCUUAAGUGUCAUAACGAGCGCAACCCUUGUUGUCAGUUACUAACAGGUUCCGCUGAGGACUCUGACAAGACUGCCAUCGUAAGAUGUGAGGAAGGUGGGGAUGACGUCAAAUCAGCACGGCCCUUACGUCCGGGGCUACACACGUGUUACAAUGGGGGGUACAGAGGGCCGCUACCACGCGAGUGGAUGCCAAUCCCCAAAACCUCUCUCAGUUCGGACUGGAGUCUGCAACCCGACUCCACGAAGCUGGAUUCGCUAGUAAUCGCGCAUCAGCCACGGCGCGGUGAAUACGUUCCCGGGCCUUGUACACACCGCCCGUCAAGCCAUGGGAGCCGGGGGUACCUGAAGUGCGUAACCGCGAGGAGCGCCCUAGGGUAAAACUGGUGACUGGGGCUAAGUCGUA